This 226-nucleotide ribosomal RNA is filed under the name Vibrio parahaemolyticus. RNAcentral describes it as "partial 23S ribosomal RNA". It matches the Rfam family "Bacterial large subunit ribosomal RNA", at positions 1531 to 1754 of the family's 2925-position model. Lineage: Bacteria; Pseudomonadati; Pseudomonadota; Gammaproteobacteria; Vibrionales; Vibrionaceae. The record is from RNAcentral.
GUUAGGUAAAUCCGGCUCUCUUUAAGGCUGAGACACGACGUCGAGCAUCUACGGAUGUGAAGUCAUUGAUGCCAUGCUUCCAGGAAAAGCCUCUAAGCUUCAGAUUGUAAGGAAUCGUACCCCAAACGACACAGGUGGUCGGGUAGAGAAUACCAAGGCGCUUGAGAGAACUCGGGUGAAGGAACUAGGCAAAAUGGUACCGUAACUUCGGGAGAAGGUACGCUCU